CCUACGGGUGGCAGCAGUGGGGAAUAUUGCUCAAUGGGGGAAACCCUGAUGCAGCGACGCCGCGUGAGGGAAGAAGGUAUUCGGUAUGUAAAGCCCCUUCUGUAGGGAAGAAAAUGACGGUACUUGACUAAGAAGCACCGUCUAACUACGGGCCAGCAGCCGCGGUAAAACGUCGGGGGCAAGCGUUAUCCGGAUUUAAUGGGCGUAAAGGGAGCGUAGACGGGAGUGCAAGUCUGGCGUGAAAGGCGUGGGCUCAACCCCCGGACUGCUCUGGAAACUGUACGGCUGGAGUGCAGGAGAGGUAGGUGGAAUUCGCGGUGUAGCGGUGAAAUGCGUAGAUA
This 341-nucleotide ribosomal RNA is filed under the name uncultured bacterium. Its description in RNAcentral is "partial 16S ribosomal RNA". It matches the Rfam family "Bacterial small subunit ribosomal RNA", at positions 338 to 696 of the family's 1533-position model. The record is from RNAcentral.